CGCGGAUCUCCCCCUCCCCCCCCCAGCCAUCGCCACCUCCACCACCUCAGUUCCACUCAAUCGAUUUUUGCUGCAUGUCAACACUUAUUACGGACCCACUCUAAGAGAGGACUCACUGGCCAGAGUCAAAAACCAAGAAAAGAGUCAUUAGAGAAACAGAAAAAAAGAAUGUGGUCUUGUAAACUCAGAAUCUCCUGACUAGCGAAUGGUGACACCCAUAAUGGAUGGGUCUUCACAUCUCAGUUAGCGGGAUCAAGAUAAUCCCCCACAGACAUGCCAGCAGACCAGCCCGAUCUAGAGAACCUCUCAUCGAAGUCCCUUCCCAGUUCACAGAGAAAUGUGAGGAGACAAAGACAAAUGAAUGGAAGAAUUGUCAAACCAAGAGAACUCAAGAACUUCUGACUUUCAAAAUGACCAGGCUUUCCAAGAUGGAAAACAAUGCCAAAACAAAGAAGUGGCUUCUAGACCAAGAUCCAAGGCAGGGCUGCCAGACAGUCUUGGCCUGAAAAUGAAGCUGAGGACAGGAUUGUGAAAUACUCUGUUAAAACCUUAGGAAGGUCCAAAGUAGUGCUUCAGAGAAUGACUGAGUCAAAUGUGGUGUGCAUGUCAUUGGUUCAGUGAUUUCAGCAGGAUCUCUAAGUAGAGAAGAAAUAAUGUUGAAAGACUCUGUGUGUGUGUGUGUGUGUGUGUGUGUGUGUGUGUGUGUGUGUAAAUGGAAGCAGUCCUAGUAAAGCUCACAGGGUACCAAUUUGUUUUCAUGAGCACACAGUUGUCAGGAAUGUCAACAGGUUAUAUGGGAAAGAACAGAGAUGGAAUGAAAAGGAGAGCUUCUAGACUGUCAGUUUUCUGUAGGCAGGAACCAGACUUAGAAAAACAAACUGCACAUCACCAAAAAGAAGUACCCUCCAAAGUGGAAGCAAAUGUGUGAAGAGCCAAGAGUCACAGAUGGACAGCCAUCCACAGGAAGUAGGAAUGAGCAGGCAUGAAGAACUUCGAAUAUUUGCCCAGCCAGAUUCCAGCAUCUCUAUGAACCAGUGAUUCUGGCAUGCCCCGCACUCACACUAUGCUUUGAAUGGCCAUAUAUAUGGUGGUUAUUGCAAUUCUGCCCCAUUGUUGUGUGGUAUAUAUGUGGUGGGGGGGCACCUCGAUUUAAGCCACACUGAAAAAGCUUCAUCUAUAUGUAGACUUGAUUGGCAUGCAAGAUUCUAGACUUUGGGAUGCUGUUGCUAUGGGACGAGGCUGUUGAGAGCCACGGGAAGACAGAUGUAAGGAUUUUUCCCUCACGGGUGAUGGUGGCUGGAGAGGAUAGUCAGCAGGGGGUGUAAGAUGAACUCAUGUUAAUGAGCAAGAUGUUCCCCGCAUAAUUCUCUCUCCUCGUGCUCCUCUCUGUCUCCUCCCAUAGUUGAUAAACCUGUACCGUCCACGGUAUAGGAAAGGGAAAAGACAGUGUGUGGCUUCCGACGCUAACACAGGGAAGAUACUGUGGCUUCUUGCUUAUUCUCUGUUGGACCACCUACUCUGAGAAAAGCCAGCCAUCAGACCAUGCCACGAGGACCCUCAACCAGUGCUAUGCAGUCUGUGUGAUGCAUGAACAUCUAGACACGCAACAAAGGAUGCUCUCAUCCACCUCGUUUUAUAGAAAGAUUAAACCUGAAAAGGUGGUUUCUCUAAGGGUUGCUCGUGAGCUACCUCGGGAAGCUUGAGGAUCGCCGUCCAGACAUUAAGUAUGGUGUUGUGGAACUGGAACCACCCUAGGAGACAUCUCCCCCUGAGCUCUGGACCCCUAGCACCCGGGGCUGCAUCCGUGGGGAAGGCGUGCGCAGCCGCAGUCCUCCGCCUC
Long non-coding RNA from Myodes glareolus (Bank vole), 1840 nucleotides. RefSeq lists it as uncharacterized. NCBI's taxonomy places the organism in Eukaryota, Metazoa, Chordata, Mammalia, Rodentia, Cricetidae. The record is from RefSeq and is a predicted model, not a curated record.